Molecule: long non-coding RNA, 360 nt
Filed under: Cicer arietinum (chickpea)
Lineage: Eukaryota; Viridiplantae; Streptophyta; Magnoliopsida; Fabales; Fabaceae
Description: long non-coding RNA (CARI_LNC002207)
Source: RNAcentral
UUGAUACUUCGCUCCAAUAACAUUGUUACAGAAAAGAAGAAGAAGAAAGAACUGUAGCUUCAUGGUCUAGAUUUUUGCUCGUGAUUUUUCCAUAGUUGAUAUAUAUGGUCUAUGAAUUGUAAACUCUCACUAGCUAGGGAGUUGUAACUAAGAAUGUGCAAUCUCUAAACUUGGAAAAGCAUGCAAGACACUCAAUGCCUCCAUCAUCAUGAUAGGGUUGUCUGCUCUGUUUGGAGCCUGCCAUAGGCUCAAUUAUGCAUGCCUAUAAAAAAACUAACAUAGAACCUAACACCUCCAAACAAUACAAACACAAUUUAAAAAAAUAAAAACUGUUAAUUAUAAUGACAUAUGUUAGAGUGG